Molecule: transfer RNA, 84 nt
Filed under: Patescibacteria group bacterium
Lineage: Bacteria
Description: tRNA-Leu
Rfam family: tRNA
About the family: Transfer RNA (tRNA) molecules are approximately 80 nucleotides in length. Their secondary structure includes four short double-helical elements and three loops (D, anti-codon, and T loops). Further hydrogen bonds mediate the characteristic L-shaped molecular structure. tRNAs have two regions of fundamental functional importance: the anti-codon, which is responsible for specific mRNA codon recognition, and the 3' end, to which the tRNAs corresponding amino acid is attached (by aminoacyl-tRNA synthetases). tRNAs cope with the degeneracy of the genetic code in two manners: having more than one tRNA (with a specific anti-codon) for a particular amino acid; and 'wobble' base-pairing, i.e. permitting non-standard base-pairing at the 3rd anti-codon position.
Source: RNAcentral
GCCGCGGUGGCGGAACCGGUAGACGCGUUGGACUUAAAAUCCAAUGAUAGUAAUAUCGUGGGAGUUCAAGUCUCCCCCGCGGCA